AAGGAUUAAUUAUUGAUUAAUUUUGAAAUAAUUAUGGAAGUAAAAUCAUGUGAAGUCUUGUUAUAUUCACUAUCCCAAAAAGCCCCCGCAUUACUGUGACUUGGUCAUGCGAAUGGAACAAGGUCAUAAAGACACGAUAAUGGGGUAGCUCCUUGGAGACCGUGUACUGCAUGACGAUGCAGUGUCGGAUUGUUCAUACCGGACAUUCGACAAUGAUGGUGAUGCUAACUCACUAUUCUUGGUUAGCCUUAGUGGUUUCUCGGGUCUAGUAUAUAUAUUGUAUUAUAUGAGUAUGGUAACGGGCGGGUGUUGUGGAAGUGAUGUUUAAAAUAAGAAUUCACAAUGAUGAUCGAUAUUAAAGUAUAGUACUAGUACUUGCAUGAUCAUGUAUAUGCAUUUGAUAACUGUUUGGUUUAUUAUUGAUUGUGUUGUGAUUCUAGAUUCAGUGAGUAAAUUAGUUGCUCAUGACUCAUUCGUGUGUGCAGGUAACCCUUAGGCGGGAGACACUUUACUUUUUGGACGGAAGGAACGGCCAACCAGCGGACCGAUGGAUAAGCUAGUAAACCGGGGGUGUUUGUAUGUAUUUCGUGAGGAUUUAGAGAUGAUAAUGAAGAAAUAGGCUUGAAGAGACUUUUAUUAGAUAGAACGAACAAGAUUACAAGAUAUUGAGUAAGAACCCUAAUUCUAGCCGUCUAGUUCUAGUCUCUAAGCCUUGGAGAAGUCGAUCCCUUGCUUGAGGGCUAUUGUCGCUCUUAUAUAAUAGUCUAGAAGUCGGUUUCAUUAGGUUAAACUCUUCCAUAUUCAGAAAUAUGGAAGGUUCUCCUUGUCGGAAGUUUUCCAUUUCUUGGAAGGGAGCAGGGUCCAGGGACCGAGCCCAGGGUUCCCUCUGGUGGGGACCCGGGGUACCCAUUUAUCAGGGAUCCGGGGAUAUGAGUCCUGCUUGGAGGCUGGAGGAAAUAAUACCGGGAUAUUUUUCCCCAACAACGAGAACUCGAUGGUGACUAGCUUCAGAUCAAUAGAAUACGUAAUCCCCACAGGUAGAGGCCUCACCUAGGAUGGCAGCAUACGGUCCCUUUAAAAUACAAACCGAAUGCCCCAGGGUUAUCGAGAAUUUUCGGGUCCCCAUGAAGUCUCCGGGUCUUGAACAAAUUUCUUUAGGACCUGGAAAAAGUAAACCUCCAAUUUAUUUAUAAUGCUCGGGCCCAACUCCAAUACAAAGACGAAACCCGCGGGUUAGAUCAAUCUUUAAGAAGACCUCAGGGUCCAAAGACCACGAGUCUAAAUCCAAGACCUCAGGGUCAAGAAACCUACGGGUUUUAUAGAUUUUAGGGUCCGGGGACUACGAGUCCAAUUCCGGACCUCAGGGUCUAGAACCCAUGAGUACCCUAAGAAUUAUUCAUACUCUCUAAGUGAUCCUAGGCUCCCGAAAGAGAUCCAAUCCUACAAGACCUAUGAGGUCCGGUCAUCUUAAUGUCCAGAGGUUCUAAGGAACCUAGACACUCAGGAUCCUUGAGUCCUUCGACAAUCAUCUACAGCCUAAGAAGGCUCGAAAUUCGAUAAAGCUUACCAAAUACUCGGAUCAACGCCCAACUCUUCGAAGGCGAUCCAAGAUCCUAAGAUCAUUAGACGACCUGCAUUUUUUCCAAAAGAGAGACAAUCGCAGAAGCAAGCAUCAUAUAAAGAUCUCAAAAGAAGGAAAAAGCAAAUCCAGAAAAGCUUAUUUAAAGCAACAACAGGGCCAUCAUUCAAACAAAUUCAGAGCAACCCAAGAAAGGCCGCUACUACAACAAAGGAAAGAACAUAAAUUCAGGAGGAAGAUCCUCUAGGCCUCAAAUCGAUAUCCAUCCCAGAAUUCGGAGGAAAGGUGGGCUCGUUCUCAAAUGUAGGAACCGGGACACCUUUAUUCUUGGCCUCCUCCAAGACCACUGUCUUGUAUUGCGCCAAAGCCUUGGCCAGAUCCCAUUGGUCGUUCUUUCUCUGCAACCAUUCUCUCAUAAACUCCCACUGAGCGGUAAUUCUUGCCCCGCUUACAGCCAUCACCGUCUCAAGCCUCAGAGUUUCCAUGGCCUCUUCUAGCUCCUGGUUCUUCUUGCCAACGCUCAAUGCAUCCGCCGAGGAUAUCUCAUCAGACCUCUCCACAUCCUUGAUCUUAUCCUUAAGAUCACGAAUCUCCAGUUCACAGGCUACGCGUUGGGCCUUCUCCUCUGAAAGUUGAUUCUUCAGUUCUUCCAGCUCCUCUCGGCUGAUCAACGAGCUCUCAAGAGAUAGCUGCUCCCCAAGGUGAUAUAGCUGGGAGAUAUUCUACACGAAACCACAUCAACCUAUCAAAGAGCCGGAACGGAAAGAAAUCAGAAUCAUAACAACAUACCCGAAGAAGUCCUCCUUGAAGAACCUGGAUAACUUCCAGGGGCUCUCCCGAAGGAAGAGUGGUACCAUCAUGAGGAAACACUUGAAGAUUUAAGUUAGAUAGAGCAGCGGCAAGAUUUCCCGCAGAACGCACAACUUCAGCCGACUGGUAUGACGCCCAUGUCGCCACACCUCCACCCCUAGCCUUCCUGGCACGAGUCAAAACAGAGGGUUCGAUUUUCACCGUCGUCGCCUGACGACUUCCAGUAAUCAUCAAAUCAUCGCCAGAUACGGUUCUGCUCACAUACCCUUUUUUCCGGACAUACUCUUCGUCGCCUUUUGAUAAGCUACGAAAGGAUCAUUGCUAGUAUCUCCAGACAUACUUCCUGAGCCAAAGAAUGUCAAUCCUCGCAAAUAUUCAGAACAAAGCAAUCAAAAGUGAAAACGCUUACCCCAGAGGCUGCUACGUCGCAAGGCACUAUCACUAAGCAAGAAAGGUACUUGGCGACGAUCAAGAGGAAGUUGGCGUGCUCGAACCAUAAUAUCCUCUCCCUCCGGAAUAGCAGGAUGCAUUCCAGCUGCAAACACAACAAAGUGGGUCAGAGAUCAGACAAAGCAGAAUCAUGCGUAUCCCCUAGACCAACCUAUAAAGUUCCAAUGAUAGGAGUGCCCAGGGAGCGCCAUAAAAAUGUAUCGUUCCUGCCCCUUUUUAAUAAAAGCAGACCCCUUACGAUCACUUCUCGGCAGCUCCUCCACGAUAGGCAAUCCACUACGAGGACGAAGAUGGAGCCGACCUUCAUUCCCAUUAAGAGGGGCCAGAUGGUAGGAGUACAUAACCUCGUUAACUCCUAGACGGAGGAUUCAGCUGGGAAGGAGAGAUCUCGAAAAAUUCGCAUAAGGUCGCUAUAAGCGACGAAAUCACCCCUCUAAAGCCAUUAACGAAAAAAGCCUCAUAAAUAGCGAUCUGCCCAGGGAUAAAAUUAGAGACUCGCUCCUCCGGCGAAGGUACCUGGAGAGUAAAAGAGGAGGGAAGAGAAUAUUGUUGCCGCCACUCUACUAGAUCAUCCUCACUCACAGAAGACGCAGGACCUAUCGGGGAAGGAGAUGCGUAUGCGUAUGGAAUAGGAGCUGCUACGUCCUGUUUUGACCUCGAGCCUGGGUCAGGAGAGCUGUCGGAUCGUGAAGCCGGAGAAUCCAUUCUUCUCCUCGAGCCAGCUCUAUCAGUCAUCGGGGGCGUCAGAGAAGCGGAUCGUUUGGACAUGAUUGAUUGGUUCCUAAUCCAUAGAUGGUGACCACAACAGAAUAAGCAAACUAAGAGGCUAGGAAAUCACACCAGCAAGCUAAAGAAAGAAGGAUGAGAGAAGUACCUGAGCCGAACACGAAGAAAGGUGAGGAACAAAAGAAGAGUGUGCAGAAAUAUAUACAAAAAAGAAGAAGCUGUUGAAAGUCUUCCUUGGAAAGAUGCGCAUCUCACCAGAUCUCGGGCCGCGGGAUUCGAAAUUCAAAAAGAUACCUCCGCUAAAGAAGGGAAGAAAAAUAUCAGCCGAAUCUCUGAUAUUAAAAGAAGAAAUCAUCCGGGAACGGAAAGGACUCCUAUCUCUUUUAAACCGCGCGUGAACUGCACGACAAAGCUCCAGCCUUGUCAUCUCCAAGAAGAUAGAAGAAACUGCUGACAGAUAUCAACUGAAUACGAAGGGACCAGUCCUUACCUAGGUUCAGAAUGAGUUUCGACUUGAGUGGAACCUAGGCAAACAAGACUAGCGGAACAAAGUCCUGCCAAAGGGAGCCAGCUGAGAAUGAGCAACCCCGGUUGACUUGAAUGCAAAGGUUAUUCCCCGACUUCGAUGACAAAAUCGAGAAAUAAGGGGCAAACUGUGGGGGAAAAAUAUCCCUGUAUUAUCUCACCCAGCCUCCAGGCAGGACUCGGAUCCCCGGAUCCCUGAUAAAUGGGUACCCCGGGUCCACACCAGAGGGAACCCUGGGCUCAGUCCCUGGACCCUGCUCCCUUCCAAGAAAUGGAAAACUUCCGACAAGGAGAACCUUCUAUAUUUCCGAAUAUGGAAGAGUUUAACCUAAUGAAACCGACUUCUAGGCGAUUAUAUAAGAGCGACAACAGCCCUCAAGCAGGGGAUCGACUUCUCCAAGGCUUAGAGACUAGAACUAGACGGCUAGAAUUAGAGCUCUUACUCAAUACCUUGUAAUCUUGUUUGUUCUAUCUAAUAAAAGUCUCUUCAAGCCUAUUUCUUCAGUAUCAUCUCUAAAUCCUCACGAAAUACAUACAAACACCCUCGGUUUACUAGCUUAUCCAUCGUUCCGUAGUAUUCACAAAGAGCCUACACAAAAAUUUCCUAACAAUAGCUACAGGAGCAGCACAAGCAUCUGGGGUAUGAGCAGAAGCAUCACCCUCUAUGCAGACGUUCCCAGCUUCUCCAUCAAACCUUCGGCCAACUCCGACCAAUCCCCACCAUGGGGGGAAACGUCUCAUCCUUAUAAAAGAGAAGAAGAAAGUCUUACAGGCUCAACUUGAUCGUGCGCAACAGCGAUGUCCACCCCUAGAGCAUUUACUAGGUCCUACAUGGUGGUUCUUCCUUAUUAUCCACUUCCAGGCCAUCAGAAUCAUGGAUACAACUACAUCCACAUGACCAUCCUCACUCAGACCAAACACAUGCCCAUUGAAGCAUGUCUGUAAGUCUAUCUAAAUUUGUCCUGGCCAUGACAUCAUGCCCACCGGGUUCACCGACGAAUACACUACCUGAUCUAGACCACGUGUCUGUAUCGAGUCAAGGAUUAUUGCCUAUUCUCGAGGUCGUAUAUCUUCAAUCAGGCUGUGAAUCCUUUCAGAUCGAGCGCAAGUACAUCCACGCAUACUCGAUAAGGAAGUUUGAAGACCCUGGCUACGAGCCGACGUCCUACUCCAAAUUCAACAAGGAGCUUGAUACCAUGGUGAAACUCAUGAAGUCCUAUAAAGAAAAUCAUGUUAUUUACUUCUUUCAAACAUGAAACCAGAAAAUAAGGGGCAAAUUGUUGGGGAAAAAUAUUCCAUGAAGAGAUUACUCCAGCAUCCGGCUUCCAGGUUCCUGCCUCCAGGUUUCGGAUUCCUUUCCCCGAGUCUGGGUCCCUUCCCCCGGGUCUGGGUCCCUGCCUCCAGCCUCCGGCUUCUAGGCCGAGUGAUUUCUCCUACCUUAGGAUAAAUGAAAAUCUUCCUUUAAUAGGAUAACCAGCUUGGACAAGAGUGAAUCUCCUUAAAUCCGAGAGAAAGAGGAAGUACUCCAAUACAUAUGACCUUCCUUAAGAAAAAGGAAAAUAUUCUAUUAUCUAAGGAUAUAAUGAAUAUUUCCAAAUCCAAAGAGAGAGGCAUGACCUCCACUAUAAAAAAGGUUUCUAAACUUAAAGGAAAGGUGGAAGACAUCCAGCUCCAAAACUCGCCAAUUCUACAGCCGCCAAGGCAAGUUUUCGCACCUAAAAGACCAUCUUCAUCAACAUGCUCAUAACGGACGAAUCCCUGCGACUACUAUCAACCAGAUGAAGAUAUAUGCUCACUGCAGCACGUCUACAACUCUACUUACUGGCUCAGGCCACGAUCUCCAGCUCAUCAGUAGGGUCCAUCCAUGCUCACUGAAGCACCUUGACACAUCAUGCUCACUGUAGCAUAUCGACAGGUCUACCAUCUGUUCCGGCCAUGUGCCCCCUAGAAACAGAUGAUUCCUACCAACUACAGAGCCCCGUGCUCCCAAGGCUACGUGCUCAUUAGGCCAUGUGCCCACUAGAGCCCCGUGAUCCCAAGGCCACGUGCCCAUUAGGCCAUGUGCCCACUAGAGCCCCAUGCUCCCUAGGCUAUGUGCCCAUUAGGCCAUGUGCCCACUAGAGCCAUGUGCUCCCAAGGCUGUGUGCCUCCAUUAGGCUACGCGCCUCCAUCAGGCUACGUGCCUCCAUCAGGCUCCCUGCCUCCAUAUACAUGAACUAUGAAUGGCUUGAUCCCUCACUGAAGGGUACGUAGGCAAUCCCCACUGAAUGAUGUAACUAUAAAUCCAAACACCUUCCAUGGUCCCGUGCAUAGAUACCUAAGGACCGACCUUGGUAGCCGGAACCAUCAAGUACAGAUAAGGAGGCCUCCAUGGACCGACCUUGGUAGCCGGAACCAUCGAUCAUAGAUCAUGAAGACCCCGCAAUCUUCGCUAUCGAUAGCCCCCCCCCCCAGCCUUACGACCAAUCUCCCCUACUGCUUCUAAGGCACCGAUGACCUAUACUGGUCCAUGCCCAUAUGGCAGUAUCCUAAGAGCAGGAUCUCAUGGUUUCUCAACUAUCGAACCAGGAGAAUAUACUCAACGACAUGUCUCCUUCCUCCUAUCAUUCCGUAGAGCUGGGUACGUAUCGCUUGUACACAAAACUCCCCUAACACUAGCGCUCCAACGGAAUUUGAUAUUUUUCUGGAGGAGAUAGUACCAUCUAUUUCCCCCCAGAUGAAUCAAAUAUUACUAAAGAUAGCAACGGAGGAGGAGGUCCGACAAGCUUUAAUCAUGAUGCAUCCAGAGAAAGCGCUAGGUCCGGGCGGAAUGACAGCUCUUUUCUUUCAGCACUACUCGCAUGUUAUUAAAAAACAUUUGGUUGAGAUGGUGAAUAUUUUUCUGGCUACAGGAGAUAUGGAUUCACGGUUAAAUAUUACCGAUAUGUGUAUGAUCCCGAAAACAGAGAGACCUACAAGGAUGACGGAACUAAGGUCAAUAAGUCUAUGUAAUGUUGGUUAUAAGAUUUAUCUCAAGAGUUUUAUGUCAAAGACUGAAAAUAUGCCUUCCACGGUUAAUAUCAGAGACACAAUUGGCUUUUUGUGGCGGGAAGGUUAAUAUCUGAUAAUAUUCUUAUAUCUCAGAAAAUGUUUCAUGGAUUGAGAGCAAAUAAGUCUUGUCAAAACAUGUUUAUGGCAAUCAAAACGGAUAUGAGCAAAGCGUAUGAUAGGGUAGAGUGGAACUUUAUUGAGGCUUUUUUCCACAAAAUGGCGUUUGAUCCUCAUUGGGUUAAAUUGAUGCUGGAGUGUAUAUCUUCGGUUCAAUAUCGGGUACUUCUUAAUGGUCAGCCAUGGGGUCUUAUAAUUCCUCGGCAGAGUUUACGUCAAGGGGACCCUUUGUGUGCUUAUUUAUUUAUUAUGUGCACUGAGGCUUUGAUUUUACAUACCAGUAUGAAGGUAGCAAGAGCUUGUCAAGCAAUUUCUCAUAUGUUAUUUACAGAUGAUAGUAUGUUCUUUUGCAAGGUACAAAAAGAAGAGUGUAAAACCAUUCUUAGGAUUCUAAAGGAAUAUGAGGCUGUCUCAGGGCAACAAAUUAAUUUCUAGAAAUCCUCAGUUCAUUUGGACAUAAGAUUGAAGAAUCCAGUUGACAAGAAUUGAGAGAUAUUUUUGGGAAUUAAUAACCUAGGUAGGAUGGGAUCUUAUAUAGGAUUGCCAGAAAGCCUUGGAGGAUCUAAGGCACAAGUGUUUAGUUUUGUACAAAAUCGUUUGAAUAAUAGGAUUAAUGGAUGGACUUUUAAAUUCUUCAAUAAAGGAGGAAAGGAGGUGAUCAUUAAAUCGGUGGUCACUGCUCUGCCAAACCAUGCGAUGUCUGUUUAUCGGUUACCAAAGGCUACUGUAAAGAAAUUAACGAGUGCAAUAGCUCAGUUUUGGUGGAGUACAGGAGGAAGCGCAAAAGGGAUGCAUUGGAAAUCUUGGGACAAAUUAUGCUUAUAUAAAGAUAAUGGUGGAUUAGGCUUUAAGGAUCUUACAGAUUUUAACCCAGCGAUGCUUGGAAAGCAAUUAUGGCGGGUGAUAGAGAAACCAGAUACACUAUUUUCUCGAGUUUUAAAAGAACGGUACUACUGGAAUGCCUCACCCCUGGAACUGAUCCGUUCAUAUUUUCCGUCAUAUGGCUGGAGGAGUAUCAUAUAUGCUAGAUCUCUGGUUAGUAAAUGACUAUUAAAAGAGUGGGAACAUGUUCUUCUAUUUUGGUAUGGAAUAACCCCUGGAUCCCAACCACUUGCCCGAGGCCAGCAAACAAAAACCUUCAUAACAGUUACUUGGAUUUCACAGUGGAUUCUCUCAUUAAAUUGUAAUCCCGAACAUAGAAUUUGCAGGCAAAUAGGGCUUUGGUGGAUCCUCAUGAUGUCAAAAUUAUUGAAAGUAUUCCACUGAGUAGAAAUCAGCUGGAGGAUAGAAAUGGAUGGCAUUUUACCAACAAUGGGAAAUAUACGGUGCAAUCAGGGUACCAAUUGGAACGGGUCUACCCUGAUAAGAAAAAACCACCAGAAUUUUAUGGACCCAUAGUGGAUAUAUUAAAAGCAUUCUGAUGGGAUGUGCGGUGUCCUUCGAAGAUAAAUCACUUUUUAUGGAAAAUUCUAUCAGGGUGUCUAGCGGUCAUGAAAAAUCUAAAACGAGAGGGAUACAAGAGGAUAUAUGUUGUGCACGAUGUGGAGAUCCGGAGGAAUCAAUAAACCAUGUGUUCCUUGAAUGUCCUCCAACACGUCAAGUCUGGGCACUAUCUAAGAUACCAUCGAAUCCUCAUAUGUUCCCUAUCAGUUCUUUUUCGCCAAUAUGGACCAUCUUUUUUGGAGAGUUAGUCCAAAGAUGGAUGAUCACCAAUUUGCAUUGAUAUUAUGGUAUAUUUGGAAAGGGCGGAACAAAAAAGUGUUUAACAAUCUAGAUAUUGAUCCAAGAGAAACGUUAAAAAUAGCGGAACUAGAAUCAGCACUUUGGACUGAGGCACAUGUAACAAAUAAUCAGACGUUGGUACAUCAAGUACAGAACAGGUCCAUACCAGCAAUCCCAGGAAGAUUGUGUUUCAUUGAUGGUUCCUGGAAAGAUAUGGACCUAUUUUCCGGACAAGGCUGGUACAUCACUUUACCGAGUUUUGAUGGAUUAUUAGGGGCAAAGAAUGUAAGGGCAAGUCUCUCACCUCUCCAUUUGGAGGUGGAAGCGCUAAUAUGGGCAAUGGAAUGCAUGAAGAAUUUAAGACAUUUUCAGGUCACAUUUGCAACGGAUUGUUCUCAAUUGGUAAAGAUGGUUUCAGAACCAGAAGAAUGGUCAACAGUUGAUAGUUACAUGGAAGACAUUAAUCUUUUGAAAAGAAGUUUCGUCAACUCAGAAAUCAUUCAUGUACCUCAGACGGAGAAUCUAAAGGAGGAUAGCUUAGCACACAGUGCUAGGAAACAACCGUCUUUCGUUGUUCACAUGGAUGCAGAGUUACCGAUCUGGUUUACUGAGUCAGUAUAAAUCUGUAAAGGUUUGCUGUCAAAAAAAAAAAAAUCUAACACAAAGGUUCAAAUUGAUGCUGCAUCACAACAUCAGGACGAGUUCGACCUUGAAUCUUGGAGAAUCCUUAUUGGACCAAUAUGGUGUAGUAUGUCGAUGAUUAGAUCAGUAGUUGAACCAAAGGUGAUCCAACACACAAUUCAACCAGCCAAACUGCUAACUAGGACAUAUGUUUAGUGAAAAUGUCAUAUCCUACAAUUCAAAUGGGAUUUCACCAUGAAUGCGAUUUUCAUGGAUUAUAUAUUUAACAAGCCGUCUUGUCCAAGUUGGGAAUCAACUCCAAAACUAUCCAGGCCAGAACGAUACAAAUUUUACAAAUUAAAGGGUUUCCAACCCGUUCAUCAAGCCAAAUUAAAAAGUGACCAUACUCAAACCAAAUUAUAGACUUGUAGAUAGAUCCCAUAGCUUUCUAAGAAGUCCAAAA
Molecule: long non-coding RNA, 10043 nt
Organism: Brassica rapa (field mustard)
Lineage: Eukaryota; Viridiplantae; Streptophyta; Magnoliopsida; Brassicales; Brassicaceae
Source: RefSeq, a predicted model, not a curated record